Tetranychus urticae (two-spotted spider mite) is the source of this 1815-nucleotide long non-coding RNA. RefSeq lists it as uncharacterized. The record is from RefSeq and is a predicted model, not a curated record. NCBI's taxonomy places the organism in Eukaryota, Metazoa, Arthropoda, Arachnida, Trombidiformes, Tetranychidae.
UUUGCUAUUCUUGAUUGAAAAGAAAGCUCAUUUAUCAUUGAAAAUAGAUGAAGUCUGUUUAUUGAUGUUGUUCAGUUGUACUUGUGUGUGUGUGUCUCAGAUAAUUUUAAUUGUAUAACCGAUAAGUAUAAUUAAUGUCGAUAAGUUGACAGUGUAUGAUGUUAAUGAAGACGAAAAGUCAAUCAAGAUUGUUAAUGGUUUACACUGAACAUGUAUGAAGCAUUUGUUCAUCAUCUUCAAUCAUUGAGGCCAUCUUGGUGAACAAGAUUAAUUAGUCGAUACAUGUAAUUUUUAGGUGUAAGUUGGACAAGUGAAUCGGAAAUGGCAAUUAAUUUAAUCUCUUAAACUUUGAUAUAUUGAUCUUGUUUCAAUAAUUGCCAUCGAUACAUUGAUUUCUUGAACUUUGAUUUCACUUUACAUGUGAUUACCCAAAUUGACCAUAUUGUAAAUAACCACAAAUGCUUAAGGUUAAUUUUAAUUCACUGUUAAUUUAUUUUCAUCCUUUACCUGGGUUAUUGUAAUCAGUUAAACAUUAUUUACAGAUCCUGUUAACUUUAAUUGAAGUGUAAUUGUGUCUCAAUGUAAUUAAAGAAAAUUAAUAAUAAUGUUAACUCGGCAAGAAAACAAAAAGAGUAGCUGGUUACCUAAGCAAAGUUACAGCAGCCAACAGCAGCAACAGCUUACAACAUUUUAACCCCUUCUGGCUAUUAAAAUGAUCCUAAUCAGCAAAGAGUUUCAAAGUAAAAUAUGUGCUACUCUCACAGCAUCAACUAGCCCAAUUAUCUUAUCAUCCUGAUCUUCACCAUCUUGGCCAUCUUCAUCCUCCUCAUCAUCUCCAUCAUCGGUGUAUAUUAAGGUUAUAGACCCACAGUUCCCAGGUCCAUUACUUGAUUAUAUCAUCUCAUCUUAGAUGGUUCGGCUACAACAAUCAACCUCAUGAUAUAACGUAAAGUUAUACUCAACAUGCGUCAUUGAAACUUGACUGGUUAAAGCAUUGGAAGAGAGCAAAAAAGAUACAAUUUUUUGGCGACCAAAUUUUUCUUUGGGUUCCUAUCUUCACUUUCCCAUAAGUUCAACUAUUAUCAUCAACAUGAUGAUUAUCAACUAAUACAUGUUUCAAGAAAACAUAAAUAAGACUUCAAACACACAGCAAGCAAGCAAGCAAAAGAUGGUUCCUGAAGCAACAACAUACAAAGCCUAAAACGCCCAGAAACCUUGACUUUCAAUGAAAGUUAAUCAUAAGUCUUUUUUUCUCGCAAAUUUAUGCCUUUUCCAGCCAUUUUUUAAAAUAUAUUGAAGGUCAACUUUCAUUUUGAUAUCAUUAUUGUUACUGGUGAUUACUAUUGUUGAUGUUAAUAUUAUCAUGAUUAACCAUUGAUCGUUUCUAGUAAUCAUUGUAAUCACAAUGAUUCCGCUCCCAAGCAAAUUACUUGCGUCCGUUCAUUGGACUUGUCCCAUUAGGUUGUUACAAAAAGAUACAUGUGAAUGAAAUGGGAAAAGGUCAAUGAAUGCUCAUAAUUCACCUGUAACACACCAACAAUCAACAUAACCUUGUUAAUGCUAAUCUCAAUUUUGCAGCUAUUAAUAAGUGUAAACUCAAGUAAUCUAACCCCUCAUGAUUAACAGAUUUCACCUUUAAUUAGUAAUAACUUUCCCAUUGUAAAUAACUUGGACUUUUAAUGGACUCAAUGCAAUGUUGGAAUUCACAAUCAACCUUACCUUAUUAAGCAUUGAUUACAAAUUGACAGUUUAAUUCCUAAUAAAGUAAUCCAUCGGGAAAUCACAUGAGAAUGAAAAAUGAGUUUCCUUUGAUAA